RNAcentral lists this ribosomal RNA (253 nucleotides) under uncultured bacterium. RNAcentral's name for it is "partial 16S ribosomal RNA". It matches the Rfam family "Bacterial small subunit ribosomal RNA", at positions 524 to 776 of the family's 1533-position model. The record is from RNAcentral.
UACGUAGGGUGCGAGCGUUGUCCGGAAUUAUUGGGCGUAAAGGGCUCGUAGGCGGUCUGUCACGUCGGGAGUGAAAACUCAGGGCUUAACCCUGAGCCUGCUUCCGAUACGGGCAGACUAGAGGUAUGCAGGGGAGAACGGAAUUCCUGGUGUAGCGGUGAAAUGCGCAGAUAUCAGGAGGAACACCGGUGGCGAAGGCGGUUCUCUGGGCAUUACCUGACGCUGAGGAGCGAAAGUGUGGGGAGCGAACCGG